RNAcentral lists this ribosomal RNA (468 nucleotides) under uncultured bacterium. RNAcentral's name for it is "partial 16S ribosomal RNA". It matches the Rfam family "Bacterial small subunit ribosomal RNA", at positions 28 to 507 of the family's 1533-position model. The record is from RNAcentral.
GACGAACGCUGGCGGCGUGCUUAACACAUGCAAGUCGAACGGUGAAGCUCCAGCUUGCUGGAGUGGAUCAGUGGCGAACGGGUGAGUAACACGUGAGCAACCUGCCCCUGACUCUGGAAUAAGCGCUGGAAACGGCGUCUAAUACUGGAUACGAGAAGGGUCCGCAUGGGCACUUUCUGGAAAGUUUUUCGGGUGGGGAUGGGCUCGCGGCCUAUCAGCUUGUUGGUGAGGUAAUGGCUCACCAAGGCGACGACGGGUAGCCGGCCUGAGAGGGCGACCGGCCACACUGGGACUGAGACACGGCCCAGACUCCUACGGGAGGCAGCAGUGGGGAAUAUUGCACAAUGGGCGAAAGCCUGAUGCAGCGACGCCGCGUGAGGGAUGACGGCCUUCGGGUUGUAAACCUCUUUCAGCAGGGAAGAAGCGAAAGUGACGGUACCUGCAGAAGAAGCACCGGCUAACUACGUG